GACGAACGCUGGCGGCGUGCUUAACACAUGCAAGUCGAACGGUGAAGCGCCUUCCUUUUGGUGGGUGUGGAUGAGUGGCGAACGGGUGAGUAACACGUGAGUAACCUGCCCCCUUCUUCUGGAUAACCGCAUGAAAGUGUGGCUAAUACGGGAUAUUCUGGGUCUGUCGCAUGAUGGGUCUGGGAAAGAUAUUGUUUCGGUGGGGGAUGGGCUCGCGGCCUAUCAGCUUGUUGGUGGGGUGAUGGCCUACCAAGGCGGUGACGGGUAGCCGGCCUGAGAGGGUGGACGGUCACACUGGGACUGAGACACGGCCCAGACUCCUACGGGAGGCAGCAGUGGGGAAUAUUGCACAAUGGGCGCAAGCCUGAUGCAGCGACGCCGCGUGAGGGAUGGAGGCCUUCGGGUUGUGAACCUCUUUCGCCAGUGAAGCAGGCCUGCCUCGUUUGUGGGUGGGUUGACGGUAGCUGGAUAGAAGCGCCGGCUAACUACGUG
This 492-nucleotide ribosomal RNA is filed under the name uncultured bacterium. RNAcentral's name for it is "partial 16S ribosomal RNA". It matches the Rfam family "Bacterial small subunit ribosomal RNA", at positions 28 to 507 of the family's 1533-position model. The record is from RNAcentral.